This is a ribosomal RNA of Panthera pardus (leopard), 113 nucleotides long. Lineage: Eukaryota; Metazoa; Chordata; Mammalia; Carnivora; Felidae. The record is from Ensembl.
GUCUAUGGCCACACCACCCUGAAUGCACCUGGAUCUAGUCUGAUCUCAGAAGCUAACCAGGGUUGGGCCUAGUUAGUAGUUGGAUCGAAGAAUACAACUUUUUCUUGUACAUA